CUACCUCAUUAUUAAAGUAGGUUGACGGCCAUAGUUCAGAAACGAAGGGCCGAAUAAUUUAAUUUUUGUGCGCUGUCACGGGCCAAUCGCAAUGAGUGACAAUUUAUCCAAGAUGGAUAUGCUGAGGCUUGGAGAUCUAGUAUUUCCAGGAAUGAUUUCCAUUUUGGCCUCGUAUCAACUCGUUAUUUUUGCAAUGAGAGUUUUCCGAAUCCGAGAAAAGGUGAAGAUCCCUUUCCCCCAAACCACUGGAAACCCAGCAUUUGAAAGAGCAUUCAGAGCACAGCAAAACACGUUAGAAUUUAUGCCAGUUUUUAUGCCAAGUCUGUGGGUAUCUUCUAUAUUUUUCCACCCAA
Molecule: long non-coding RNA, 353 nt
Organism: Patella vulgata (common limpet)
Lineage: Eukaryota; Metazoa; Mollusca; Gastropoda; Patellidae
Exons: 3
Source: RefSeq, a predicted model, not a curated record